This 8697-nucleotide long non-coding RNA is filed under the name Triticum aestivum (bread wheat). RNAcentral's name for it is "long non-coding RNA (TAES_LNC020573)". Lineage: Eukaryota; Viridiplantae; Streptophyta; Magnoliopsida; Poales; Poaceae. The record is from RNAcentral.
UACUUGGCAGCAGAAAACACACAACGUGGGCACAUGAACUUGCCGUAGGUAAGUUCUCCGGGGACGGCCUUCGAGUUUGCCAGCGUGUGAAGCAGGGAAAGCGGCGGCAGCGUCAGGACAUGGCAGCAAGGCGAGGCGGCGCUGCUGAUGGGGGGGUCGGCGAGAUGGGACCUGCAGACAUGGGAAAAAAUGGGGAUCCAGCGGAUCUGACGAGGGGAUCCGUUGUGACGCCUGGAUAAUUAAGCUACAGUAAUUCCCUGCUAAUGGUGCCACGUCAUCAUGACUAUUGUUGUUAAACCCGCAUUGGUUCGAAUCUGGUCCAUAUUCAAAUUUAAAUUAAAGUCAAAACAUUUAAAGUUUUCAAAUGUCCGAACUAAAAUGUUCAUAAUGUUGCAAAUAAUCACCAAGUAAUUUUAAUGGAAAAAUCAACGUUAUUUGAAUUAAUGAAAUGCCACUAACCUUUUCAAAAUAGAGCCAAUAUAGCAAAUUUUAACUCAUUUAUAUUUAAACCCAAUCCUAAUGAAUUCAACAACCCUCAAACUUUUUGUGAUAGUACUAGGUUUUUCCCUGGUAUUUAUUCUGCUUAAUAACACUUUUUUCAAAACUCAUGUAGUGCAAGAAAUAGUGCAAAAUAGAAAAGGAUAACAUAAAACGAAACUAAAAAAAGAAAGAAAAAAGAAAAGCAAAGCCCCCCCCCCCUCUUCAUGGGCCUAAUGGCCCAACCGGCCACCCAUGCCACCAGGAGGCCCAUCCCGUCCCACCUUAUCCCCGAGCAACCGAACCUAGCCCGCACCCACCACUCACCCCCACUCCCCCCACGUUCGUCCCUCCCUGAUCUAGAUCGGGAUAGGGGGAAGGGACUGCAUCGUUGCAUGCACCCGUCGCCUACUCCGGUGCCCACCGCACCCUCUCCUCCUCCCGCGGCCGCGCCACCGCCAUCGCGCCCGCGCCCGGGGAUCCGCCACCUCCCGCCGUCCUCACACCAUUGCCUCGCAGGAGCUCCUCCCAUGGCCACCGCCUAGUUGUGUCGCGCCAAGUCACCCCUCGCUGGAGAUUGACGGAUCCCGGAGGCCCCGUCGCGGGUCCGGCAUCCCUCGCCUUCUUCCCCCUCGUCGGAGCCCCCCUCGUCACCCGUCGUCGUCGCCGGAACCUCCCCGGCCUCCUCCUCACAGGUCGCCGCCACACCUCGCCGCCCCCGCUCCCCGCCAACGGCUAUGAGCGCCUCCCUCGUCUUCUUUUCUCCUCGCCACAGUCAUCGACGCCCCACGCCGAUCCGUGCACCCUCUCGCCCACGCAUGGCCUCGCCUCCCUCUGUUACUGCUCACCCGUCGUUGCUCGUGGCUAGCCUCGCCCAGUUUUGCAUCUGUCGUGCCCCAGCCUGCUCCGGCGUGCCUGCGCCUCGUCGGCGUUGGUCCUAUCUGGGGCCAUGCCCUGCUCCCCCAUCGCGCUCUGCGCUCGUCGCUGGCGCUCCUCUGUGAGCGGCCGCGCAUUGCCAAGCCAUGGCUGCUUGUGCCACUGCCACUGGGACCAACCCCCCUUAAAAAAGGAACAAAAUGAAUAACCAAAAGAAAUAAAUAAAAUAGGAUAAAUAGUUAAUUAAUUAUUUGGUUAAUUAACCUAAUUAAUUGGUUUAGCUAGCCUAACAGAAUAUGACAGUGGAACCCCCUAGUUAAACUAAACUCUUGAACUAACCCUAGACUAUGACAUGUGGCCCCACCUUGGCCAGUUUGACCAGUCAAAGUGCUGACUGUGUAUCACCUAGCCAAUGACAUAUGCCCCCCACUGCACUGUUCACGUUUGACCAGUCAAAUGUCGACUGCUGAGUCAACUGUUGACUUGGCCCACUGUUAGCCUCAAGCACACACUAAUGGGUACACUUUCGGGUGCACUUAGCAUUUAGUCCUUAUAAUAUUUUGAAUUAGUAUUAAAUACAAAAAUUCAGAAAAUAAAUUAAAACUUUGAAAGUUAAUAUAAAAUGAUCCGUAACUCGGAUGAAAAAACUUUGUACAUGAAAGUUGCUCAGAACAACAAGACGAAUCCGGAUACGCAGCCCAUUCGUCCGUCACGCAUCCCUAGCAUAGCGAACACGCAACUUUCCCCCUCCGGUUCAUCUGUCCGAAAACGCGAAAUACCGGGGAUAUUUUCCCGAAUGUUUCCCCUCUUCACCGGUACCACCUCAUACCGCGUUAGGGCACCCCUAGCACCGCUACUUGUCAUGUCAUGCAUUGCUAUGCAUCUGUUUGCUUAAUAUUUAUUGUUUCUUCCCCCUCUUCUCUCGCUAGACACCGAGACUAACGUCGUUGCUACAUAGUACGACUAUGUUGCUGACGACCCCUCUCUCUUGGCAGAGCAACCAGGCAAGCCCCCCCCCCCUUGAUCACCAGAUGUCGCCUACUCUUCUCUAUACUGCUUGCAUUAGAGUGGUGUAGCAUGUUACUGCUUUCUGUUAAUCCUAUCCUGAUGCAUAGCCUGUCCUUGUUACUACUGUUGUUACCUUUACCUGCAAUCCUAAUGCGUAGUAUAGGAUGCUAGUUUAUCAUCAGUGCCCCUACAUUCUAGUCCGUCUGCCAUGCUAUACUAUCGGGCCAUGAUCAUUCGGGAGGUGAUCACGGGUAUAUACUUAUACAUAUAUACAUACUACAGGUGGUGACUAAAGUCGGGUCAGCUCGUUGAGUACCCGCAAGUGAUUCUAAUGUAGGGGCUGAAGGGGCAGGUGGCUCCAUCCAGGUAGUGGUGGGCCUGAGUUCCCAACGGCCCCCGAUUGUUACUUUGAGGCGGAGCGACAGGGCAGGUUGAGACCACCUAGGAGAGAGGUGGGCCUGGCCCUGGUCGGCGUUCGCGGUUACUUCAAGAUAACAUGCUUAACGAGAUCUUGGUAUUUGAUCUGAGUCUGGCUACUGGCCUAUACGCACUAACCAUCUAUGCGGGGACAGUUAUGGGCACUCGACGUCGUGGUAUCAGCCGAAGCCUUCGUGACGUCAGCGACUGAGCGGCGCGCGCUGGGUUGGACCGUGUAACGCAACUUCCUUUGUAAUGGAGGUUGCUAGGUCUGCUGACCGGACGCGUACGCAACGUGCAGGUGUGCAAUGGGUGAUGGGCCCAGGCCCCUGCGCCAUAGGAUUUAGACCGGCAUGCUGACCUCUUUGUUGUGCCUAGAUAGGGCUGCGACGUGUUGAUCUACCGAGGCCGGGCAUGACCCAGGAAAGUGUGUCCAGCCAAAUGGGAUCGAGUGUGUUGGGAAAUGUGGUGCACCCCUGCAGGGAAGUUGAUCUUUUUGAAUAGUCGUGUCCCUCGUUAAAAGGACGACCCGGAGUUGUACCUCGACCUUAUGACAACUAGAACCGGAUACUUAAUAAAACACACCCUUCCAAGUGCCAGAUACAACCGGUGAUCGCUCUCUCACAGGGCGACAAGGGGAGGAUCAUCGGUUAGGAUUAUGCUACAUGAUGUUACUGGGUGAACUUACCAUCUACUCUCUUCUUCUGCUGCAAGAUGGAGGUUACCAGAAGUGUAGUCUUCGAAAGGACUAGCUAUCCCCCUCUUAUUCCGGCAUUCUGCAGUUCAGCCCACAUAUGAUACCCUUAUUCCAUUUGAUACCAAUGCAUACAUAUGUAGUGUAGCUCCUUGCUUGCAAGUACUUUGGAUGAGUACUCACGGUUGCUUUGCUCCCUCUUUUCCCCCUUUCUAUUCUCGAUUUCUGUGACCAGGCGAUGGAGCCCAGGAGCCAGAUGCCACUGUCGAUGAAGACUACUACUACUCGGGAGGUGCCUACUACUACGUGCAGCCCGCUGACAACGACCAGGAGUAUCUUAGGAGGAUCCCAGGCAGGAGGCCUAUGCCUCUUUCGAUCAGUAUCCCAAUUUGUGCUAGCCUUCUUAAGGCAAACUUGUUUAACUUAUGUCUGUACUCAGAUAUUGUUGCUUCCGCUGACUCGUCUAUGAUCGAGAUCUUGUAUUCGAGCCCUCGAGGCCCCUGGCUUGUAAUAUGAUGCUUGUAUGACUUAUUUUACUUGUAGAGUUGUGUUGUGAUAUCUUCCCGUGAGUCCCUGAUCUUGAUCGUACAUGUUUGCGUGUGUGAUUAGUGUAUGAUUGAAUCGGGGCAUCACAAGUUGGUAACAGAGCCGACUGCCUGUAGGAAUCCCCCUUCCACGCUCCUUGGCUGAAGUCGAGUCUAGUCUUUGAAAAAACUUUUACUAACAUGGCUAUGUGGCUUACGGGCCCACGUCGCCAUUGGGUGGCAUUAGAAUCUUUUACUCCUUGUCGAUUCUCUAGGACUCUGAUCUCUCUUCUUUCGGGUUAAAUGAAUUUUGCUAAAUCUAACAUUAGGAUCUCGUUAUCACUUUCACUUGGAGAGCCCCUAAUUACUGAUGAUCGUCUGCUGCACGUGAAGGCCCCAAAGAUACUCUCCGCUGUUAACCCGAGAACUUGUGUUCAUCGCGUUUGCAAUUCCCCUUCCACCGUCAACCCUUAGGGAUAACUACUUGCAGUUGUUAUUCUUACAUUCAUCCCCAGUUGGUCUUGUAAUUACAAGAUACCCCGAAAUACUCGUCGUUGUUUCGAUAAUCCUUUAAGCUUACUGCCUUGUUGUUCUUUGUCACCUGAAUACCCCUAUGGAUAAUUCUCGCACUUAUCGAGUAUCCGCUCAUCCCCCAGUUGUUCAUGUGUUUCACAAUGGUCUUCGAAAUACUAUUCGAUCCUCCAAAAAUCCUUAGUAGCUUAUUGCUCUGCAAUACUUGUCUGCUUGCAUUAUGGAUGCUUUCCAUAUGUUUGGCAAUAUUCGUCAGUAUCCUUAGACACCGUCAUUUUGAUCCUAUUGAUUCAACAUGAGUGCGAAUGCACGCAAUCAUCAGUUGAUCCUUUCAAAUUAUCUUUCUUCCUCAGACAUCAUUUUUGAACAUGAUCUUGUUCUCGACCAAUCUAUUUGUCGUCAAUUGUACCCUUAGGUCUAUUGAACUUAUCCACCCUUGAUCAGAGCGUCUGCUUCUGAUCCUUCUAUUUGGAAAUCAUAAUUCCUUUCAUAUCUAAGCAUCGAAUCAUUCAGGUGUUCUAUAAUCUGAUGCCCUUGCAUCCUUUCUUCAACUGAUUGUGUGUCGAUGCUCACAUCAGCUCCGCUAUGGAUCGUCAGAUCCUUUAUUGGAUUAUUAUUCGACAGUGUCCUCCUUAUUCAAUAACCUCGUGAGCCUUUCCUCUGAUACAUAAUGCUUUUGGUAAAUUGUAUCCUCUAUUUUCUCAACCAUGCUCUGUUUUCGAGCUGGUGGUAUUUACGAUUGAAGCUUGUGGUAUAUGUUUCCACGAUACCCUGAUGGGUUGAACCUAUGUCUUUCUUAAUCUGUGUGAACCCGAAGGUUUUCAUGGGUCAUACUCCUCUGGUAAUUCACCAGGUAGGUUUUGACACUGAAAUCAUUUUUAUCUAGAACAGUGAAUGAAAGGUUAUGCGUUGAAGAAGUGGGAGUCGACCUUGAACUUUGUGUUCAUGCCCAUGGACACGAUGUAGAUCUUAUCAUUAAAGCUUCUCUUAAAUUAUUUUUUUCCCUUGGUAUAAGUUCUUAUAUCUGGGAUCCGGCCCUUUGCAAUCGUGGUUUCGACCAUAUGUUCUUCUUUGACCCCAUUUCACGGGCAAGUUUAAGCACUUGUCUUCUGUGGAUCAAUGCACCAGUCCAACCUUUACUUUGAUCUUUCGUCGAGUAUUACACCAUGGUACCUCGAUAAUAUCAAGUACUACAUAACUCUCUUAUGAGUUCCUCAUCAAGUACUACAUUCUCACUGAUUCCAAUUUUUCACGGGCUCUGAGUUAUUAAACACUCAAAACCGAUAACUGAACCGAGUCCACACUAUGGUUCAACAACUAUUAUAAAUCUUCUUUGCUUACGAGUUUGUACCCGAUCACAUCCUUCCUACCCUAUUUGGCUAUAUCAUUACUGUGAUGAUUUUAACUGUGCUAGUUGGUCCUUAAAUCUCGGAGCACAAUUUUCGACGAUGAGCUAAGCUUGCGUCGAUCUUGCCCGUCAUAUCAUUUCGUCUUGAACAGCAAGCUUGAUUUCGAGUUUGUGUCGUACCCAUGGUUCCAAUAGCCAUUCGCUUCAUCAUUCUUUGACUUGAUGCCAUCGUCGAUCGAUUACAUCUUCAUGAAAUAUCUCGACAAAUGUGUCAUGAUCAUCAUCAGCAUUUUGAGCUCUUCCAGGCUAUCAACUGAAUUCAUGAUGAGAAAUACCAUCCUUGCCCUCAAUGAUUUGUGUUAUCAUUGACCACUUUAUUGCCUUCCGUUCAACACAAACUUGUUCAUAUUUUGUGUUAUACCUUGAGAUCCUUGCUAUCCAGCAUGUGUUCUUCUUUGCCUUGGAGUAUUACCAUCUUUUAUGUCAAGAAUCUCAUGAGAAUUUCACCACCUCUUAAUAAUUCUUGAUAUAGUAAUAUUUCUCGCCAUCUCCGUUCAUAUCUUGGUCCCCGUGUUGUUUCUAACCAGGAUACCAGCCAUUUAAGUAUGGUGUGUGAAGUCAAAACUUCUAGCAACCCUAUUGCUUGUAAGUUAUUGGUCGAUAGUUUCAUUCUAAGUCAAUUGCUUAUUGAAUCACCCUUCUAACAUUGAUCUUGCUACCUAAGUCCAGAUUUCCGAGUGCACCUUUCAACCAAUGAUUAAAUUGUGUAUGUUUCCCUCGAGCAUACAUCAUUAUAUCAUCUGAUCUGACAAAUGCUAUCUCCUUGUUCACAUAAUUGUGGACAUCCAUCUUUUGGAAAUCUCAAUGAAUUUUCGUUGAGUUCAUCAGCCACCUCCUCAUCCUCUCCUUGGUUUAAUGAUGAACCCAUGGUUCGGAACUUGUUUCCAUAGUUCAUUUCUCGAGAAUCUUACAAUGUCAGCUCGUCAAUUUGUGUUGCAUCUUUUCUUCUCAGACAUCCUGAGUCCGAGCUAUCCUGACACCAAUCAGAUCUGAAUCUCGUUCAGAUAUGAUGGUUGGAACAUAUUCCCAAGAGUUAUAACAUUGGUCCUUAACCCGAUAAGGUGAUGUCAUCCUAACACACCUGCCUGGAGGGCCUAUUGUUAUAGUUUCCUUUCUAGCAAGGUUAAUCAUUCUUCCAUAAGUAAAUUGUAAGACUUAUUCUAUGAGUUGUUCCUGAUGGAUCCCUUGUGUAUCCAAAGUCUGACCUUUGCUUGCAGACCAUGUCAAUGCUAUCCCGAGGCAUGUCUGUGGUAAUCCGCUUUUCAACAAGAACAUUUGAAGUCCAAUGCUAAAUGUUUCUCGCUCAAUUAUCCAAACACCAUUGUAUGGGUAAUGUCAUGGAAUUUCUCUCCCCUACCUAAAGAGUUUUCUACAUUAUAUCCUGUCAUGGAUAUCGUGCUCUUCUUGUCCUUGGGAAGGAUAUACCCAUGAAAUAUGUGUUUAAACACAUUUUCCUUUCCAUUGUCCUAUUUAAUCUGAUAAUCAUAUUUUUCUCUCCAUUGUUUGGUUUAACCUUUCUGGUGAUCUAUAUGAUCUAAGCAGUAAUAUUCUUCUGCUUAUGUAAACACCUUGGUGUACAACCAUGUCAGUAAGACCCUGUUGCUUUUUUUGAUAGCAUUCCAGUAACCACCGAUGGACGAGAACUUUGCCUAUUGGUCCGUCUCGUUCAAUGAGCAGGAAAAUGGUUCUCUUCGUCCCUCGCCCUUGGUACCAAUGGUUGUUGCCAACAUAAUCGAUAGUCUAUCCUCUGGCAUGCCUUGCUUACAUGAUCAUGCAAGACGUCAUCCCCCUUCCUACUUUUAACCCACAUGGUGGGCCCAUAACCCACAAUUUCACAGGAUCGAAACCUGACUCUCCUGUACACCCUGUUGUCAAAGUUAUUCCCCACGUUUGACUUUGUAUGUAAUUCACGGGCCACCUUCCUAGUGAUCUAUUCUAGUACCAGACGCAAUACUUAAUCCCAUUGCCCUGAACCCCUUUCACCCCCUCCCCGUUUCAGGCAAUGAAUGAUUGCCUACCCACUUGAAGCUUCUUAUUACACCUUCUUACCUUGCUCUCGAUGAAUUUAUUGAACUUUAACUCGACACAUGCCCCUAUGUCACGUUCACUGAGAUGGCCCCGGGUACCUAUCUUGUUUUGAGCUUCGUCCUUCCCGAGUCUUUCCCCCUUACUCCAGCCUUAAAUCGCGGGACGAGAUUUCUUGUAGUGGAGGAGAAUUGUGACGCCUGGAUAAUUAAGCUAUAGUAAUUCCCUGCUAAUGGUGCCACGUCAUCAUGACUACUGUUGUUAAACCCGCAUUGGUUCAAAUCCGGUCCAUAUUCAAAUUUAAAUUAAAGUCAAAACAUUUAAAGUUUUCAAAUGUCAGAACUAAAAUGUUCAUAAUGUUGCAAAUAAUCACCAAGUAGUUUUCAUGGAAAAACCAACGUUAUUUGAAUUAAUGAAAUGCCCCUAACCUUUUCAAAAUAGAGCCAAUAUAGCAACUUUUAACUCAUUUAUAUUUAAACCCAAUCCUAAUGAAUUCAACAACCCUCACACUUUUUGUGACAGUACUAGGUUUUUCCCUAGUAUUUAUUCUGCUCAAUAACACUUUUUUCAAAACUCAUGUAGUGCAAGAAAUAGUGCAAAACAGAAAAGGAUAACAUAAAACAAAACUAAAAAAAGAAAGAAAAAAUAAAAACAAAGCCCCCCUCUUCAUGGGCCUAAUGGCCCAACCGGCCACCCAUGCCACCAGGAGGCCCAUCCCGUCCCACCUUAUCCCCGAG